GCCUGUGUGGCUCGGUCGGUUGAGCGUCUGACUUCGGCUCAGGUCAUGAUCUCACGAUCCGUGGGUUCCAGCCCCGCGUCGGGCU
Felis catus (domestic cat) is the source of this 85-nucleotide non-coding RNA. NCBI's taxonomy places the organism in Eukaryota, Metazoa, Chordata, Mammalia, Carnivora, Felidae. The record is from Rfam.